Molecule: unclassified non-coding RNA, 250 nt
Filed under: plant metagenome
Description: partial contains small subunit ribosomal RNA, internal transcribed spacer 1, and 5.8S ribosomal RNA
Source: RNAcentral
GUAGGUGAACCUGCGGAAGGAUCAUUAACACGUCCUAGCACGUUUUAAAAAAACAUUCCACACCACUCUCUGUGAACCCUUUUUAUAAUUCAAAAUACAAUGAAUUUAUUUUUAUUGUAUUUUCUUUUUUAAAACCCCUUUUAAACUUUUUGACUCUCCCUCAACCCCCUAGUUGACUGAUCAAAAAAUAUAAUAGCAUCAUGUUUAUUCAUGUGUGUUGUUGUGAUGGUGAGUCUUUUUUAUAGGACUU